UACGUAGGUGACCAGCGUUGUCCGGAUUUACUGGGCGUAAAGAGCGCGCAGGCGGUCGUUCAAGUCGAGUGUGAAAGCCCCCGGCUCAACUGGGGAGGGUCAUUCGAUACUGAUCGACUCGAAGGCAGGAGAGGGAAGCGGAAUUCCCGGUGUAGUGGUGAAAUGCGUAGAUAUCUGGAGGAAUACCGGUGGCGAAGGCGGCAUCCUGGACCAUUACUGACGCUGAGGCGCGAAAGCUAGGGGAGCAAACGGG
RNAcentral lists this ribosomal RNA (253 nucleotides) under uncultured bacterium. RNAcentral's name for it is "partial 16S ribosomal RNA". It matches the Rfam family "Bacterial small subunit ribosomal RNA", at positions 524 to 776 of the family's 1533-position model. The record is from RNAcentral.